UACGUAGGGUGCGAGCGUUGUCCGGAAUUAUUGGGCGUAAAGAGCUUGUAGGCGGUUUGUCGCGUCUGCUGUGAAAAUCCGGGGCUCAACCCCGGACUUGCAGUGGGUACGGGCAGACUAGAGUGUGGUAGGGGAGACCGGAAUUCCUGGUGUAGCGGUGAAAUGCGCAGAUAUCAGGAGGAACACCAAUAGCGAAGGCAGCUCUCUGGGUCCCUACCGACGCUGGGGUGCGAAAGCAUGGGGAGCGAACAGG
RNAcentral lists this ribosomal RNA (253 nucleotides) under uncultured bacterium. RNAcentral's name for it is "partial 16S ribosomal RNA". It matches the Rfam family "Bacterial small subunit ribosomal RNA", at positions 524 to 776 of the family's 1533-position model. The record is from RNAcentral.